GACGUAGGGUGCAAGCGUUAAUCGGAAUUACUGGGCGUAAAGCGUGCGCAGGCGGCUUUGUAAGACGGAUGUGAAAUCCCCGGGCUCAACCUGGGAACUGCAUUCGUGACUGCAAGGCUAGAGUGUGUCAGAGGGAGGUGGAAUUCCGCGUGUAGCAGUGAAAUGCGUAGAGAUGCGGAGGAACACCGAUGGCGAAGGCAGCCUCCUGGGAUAACACUGACGCUCAUGCACGAAAGCGUGGGGAGCAAACAGGAUUAGAAACCCGAGUAGU
Molecule: ribosomal RNA, 271 nt
Filed under: uncultured bacterium
Lineage: Bacteria
Description: partial 16S ribosomal RNA
Rfam family: Bacterial small subunit ribosomal RNA
Source: RNAcentral